RNAcentral lists this unclassified non-coding RNA (703 nucleotides) under Hevea brasiliensis (rubber tree). The record is from RNAcentral. Lineage: Eukaryota; Viridiplantae; Streptophyta; Magnoliopsida; Malpighiales; Euphorbiaceae.
CAUGGUGUCAUCCUUCAGAUCAGCAGAGAAUGCAACAGGGUACCAGAAAUUCUUAAGGUGGGAAUUGUAAGGUUGAACUGGACCUGAAACAUUCAAGCUUUUUUGUGGCAAUCUCCCUUUAACAGUAUCCAGAGAUUGAGUAGAAGUACUAGGAGAAGAGGAGGUUUGGUCAGACUCUGUUGUGCUACUAUCUUGUAACAGCCUAUCGUUAACCAAUGCUUCCAUGUGAGCUAGUUUAUCUAAAGCAGUAGUAACCCUUGCUUCAGAUAUAUGAACCUGUUGGUGUGCUUGGGUUAAUUCUUCUUGCAACCCAGCAAGCUCCUUCCUCAAGGUGCCAAUAGACUUGUACUCGCGAGCCAGAGGAUUUAGAACUUCCACAACCUUUUCAUGAAGAAGCAUAAUGGUGAGAACAUCUUGACGAGCUCGCCAAUCACAGUACUGUUUAGCCACUUCGAGUGCUUGAUUUACAUCCAAGAAUUUCCCUUUAUAGUGUGGCAUCUUAGACCUCGGAUCCUCAACAUCAAAGAUGGUACCCCAUACACUCUUCUUAUCCUGCAGCCCACCUUCCCCCCCAAAUACGGCAAACACCCGAAAUCCGCCCCUAACUCCCUUUUCAGUAUUACGCUUAGAUGAUCUAAACAGAGAAAUGGGCAUAGAGAGCGCUGCAGCAGUAGCUACAGUGUUCAUGGCGUUUGAAAAAUAU